CUUUUAGAUAAUAAUUUAAGGUCUAACCUGCCCAAUGAAGUUUUAAAUGGCCGCGGUAUUUUGMCCGUGCAAAGGUMGCAUAAUAAUUVGUUCUUUAAUUGAGAGCUUGUAUGAAAGGUUGAAUGAGAAAAUAACUGUCUCAGUUAAAAAAUUUUUUAGAAAUUUAUUUUUAAGUVAAAAAGCUUAAAUGAUGAUAAAAGACGAGAAGACCCUGUAGAGUUUCAUAUUUUUAAAAGAGAUUAAUUUUUGGGAUUGAUUAUUUAUUUUUGUUAAGAAUAUUUGGUUGGGGCGACAAGAGAAUUUAAUGAACUUUUUUAAUUUUUAAACACUAAUUAGUGGGUUAAUGAUCCUUUUUUAUAGAUUAAGAGAAAAAAUUACCUCAGGGAUAACAGCGUUAUUUUUUUUGAGAGUCCUAAUCGAAAAAGAAGUUUGCGACCUCGAUGUUGGAUUAAAAUUAAGCUUNGGUGCAGAAGCUAAG
This 478-nucleotide ribosomal RNA is filed under the name Xylocleptes bispinus. RNAcentral's name for it is "partial 16S ribosomal RNA". It matches the Rfam family "Bacterial large subunit ribosomal RNA", at positions 1828 to 2569 of the family's 2925-position model. Lineage: Eukaryota; Metazoa; Arthropoda; Insecta; Coleoptera; Curculionidae. The record is from RNAcentral.